This 408-nucleotide ribosomal RNA is filed under the name uncultured bacterium. RNAcentral describes it as "bacterial SSU rRNA". It matches the Rfam family "Bacterial small subunit ribosomal RNA", at positions 975 to 1375 of the family's 1533-position model. The record is from RNAcentral.
CUGGGCUUGAACUACCGACAGUAGUUUCCUGGAAACAGGAGGCGACUCGUCAAGUCGAGCAUCGGCAGAGGUGCUGCAUGGUUGUCGUCAGCUCGUGUCGUGAGAUGUUGGGUUAAGUCCCGCAACGAGCGCAACCCCUAUCCCAUGUUGCAAAUCCCGCAAGGGACGCACUCUUGGGAGACUGCCUCGGAGAACGGGGAGGAAGGUGGGGAUGACGUCAAAUCAUCAUGGCCUUUAUGUCCAGGGCUACACACGUGCUACAAUGGUCGGUACAGCGGGAAGCAAUGCCGCAAGGUGGAGCCAAUCCCCUAAAGCCGACCCCAGUUCAGAUUGUGGGCUGCAACUCGCCCACAUGAAGUCGGAAUCGCUAGUAAUCGCAGAUCAGCAGGCUGCGGUGAAUACGUUCCC